UUUUUUUUUUUUACUGGAGAUACUGCAAAGUUUGAUUCUUUAUUGGAGAGGACACGGAAACUACAUAUCCUGCAAGGUGAAACAGUUGGGUGAUUGGUGUGGCCUUGUUAAUUGCCAUAUUGCACUACUAAGGGCAAAGUGCCCAAACUUUGGCCGGAUUUAUAUUCAAGGUGAGGCUUUUUUCGGUUCAUAUUAUGUGGGCAAGGCGAGAUUUUGGCUAUGUAACAUCGGUAUCUUCAUAAUCGUUUUUGUAAAAUUUUCCUUGACACCUUCAAGAUCUAGUGAGGUUCGAAUAUAACUAUUGUGAGGAAAUCAGAAUGUGUGACCUAUGGUUAUAGAUAAACCUCGACUUUCUCCAGAUAUGCUUGGAACGUAGUUAGGGAAGCAAGAGAUCAUUUUAUGUAAAUGUUACUGGGAAUAAAUCAUACCAUAAUUGCAUUAGUCA
Erigeron canadensis is the source of this 445-nucleotide long non-coding RNA. RefSeq lists it as uncharacterized. The record is from RefSeq and is a predicted model, not a curated record. The transcript is spliced from 3 exons. Lineage: Eukaryota; Viridiplantae; Streptophyta; Magnoliopsida; Asterales; Asteraceae.